CUGGCUGGGUGAAGGCCUGCACAGUGGUCUACCAGUAUUUGUACAUUUAUGCGAAAAGCGGCCGGGAACAGACAGGCGUGUGGGCGGUUGUGAGUAAUCCUGUUUACUCCGGGUUUCCAUGCACAAGCCGUGUGCCUUGUCUGACUCCGGCUCAGGAAGCACAGUAACGGUGGAGGGAAAAUGUCAACUACUGUUGGUCCGACCAAUUCCCCCUCAUCCAGGUGGGCUGUCUGGGAGGCCAUUAGAGGAGUGAUCAAGUGGAGCUUUGUGUCAGAGCGGCCUGACAGCCUGUUAAGAGUGGCUGGCUGUGGGAGACAACUCGGGCUCGAUGGAUGUUUGUAGGGGACUGGGAUAGUUUUUGGAUCACCAGGUGU
Long non-coding RNA from Alosa alosa (allis shad), 374 nucleotides. RefSeq lists it as uncharacterized. The transcript has 3 exons. The record is from RefSeq and is a predicted model, not a curated record. Lineage: Eukaryota; Metazoa; Chordata; Actinopteri; Clupeiformes; Clupeidae.